This 1315-nucleotide ribosomal RNA is filed under the name metagenome. Its description in RNAcentral is "bacterial LSU rRNA". It matches the Rfam family "Bacterial large subunit ribosomal RNA", at positions 1598 to 2925 of the family's 2925-position model. The record is from RNAcentral.
AGUCACACUGCCAAGAAAAGCUUCUAGUGAGAAAGUAACUGCCCGUACCGCAAACCGACACAGGUAGUUGAGGAGAGAAUCCUAAGGUGUGCGAGAGAACUCUCGUUAAGGAACUCGGCAAAAUGACCCCGUAACUUCGGGAGAAGGGGUGCUGACCGCAAGGUCAGCCGCAGUGAAUAGGCCCAAGCGACUGUUUAUCAAAAACACAGGUCUCUGCAAAAUCGAAAGAUGACGUAUAGGGGCUGACGCCUGCCCGGUGCUGGAAGGUUAAGAGGAGAGGUUAGCGCAAGCGAAGCUUUGAAUUGAAGCCCCAGUAAACGGCUGCCGUAACGAUAACGGUCCUAAGGUAGCGAAAUUCCUUGUCGGGUAAGUUCCGACCCGCACGAAAGGCGUAACGAUUUGGGCACUGUCUCAACGAGAGACUCGGUGAAAUUAUAGUACCAGUGAAGAUGCUGGUUACCCGCGACAGGACGGAAAGACCCCAUGGAGCUUUACUGCAGUUUGAUAUUGCGUAUUUGUAUCACAUGUACAGGAUAGGUAGGAGCCGAAGAUACCGGGACGCCAGUCUCGGAGGAGGCAACGGUGGGAUACUACCCUUGUGAUAUGACCACUCUAACCCGCUGCUCUUAGCGAGCAGGGAGACAGUGUCAGACGGGCAGUUUGACUGGGGCGGUCGCCUCCAAAAAUGUAACGGAGGCGCCCAAAGGUUCCCUCAGAAUGGUUGGAAAUCAUUCGUAGAGUGUAAAGGCAGAAGGGAGCUUGACUGCGAGACCUACAAGUCGAGCAGGGACGAAAGUCGGGCUUAGUGAUCCGGUGGUUCCGCAUGGAAGGGCCAUCGCUCAACGGAUAAAAGCUACCCUGGGGAUAACAGGCUUAUCUCCCCCAAGAGUUCACAUCGACGGGGAGGUUUGGCACCUCGAUGUCGGCUCAUCGCAUCCUGGGGCUGUAGUCGGUCCCAAGGGUUGGGCUGUUCGCCCAUUAAAGCGGUACGCGAGCUGGGUUCGGAACGUCGUGAGACAGUUCGGUCCCUAUCCGUCGCGGGCGUUGGAAAUUUGAGAGGAGCUGUCCUUAGUACGAGAGGACCGGGAUGGACACACCGCUGGUGUACCAGUUGUUCUGCCAAGAGCAUCGCUGGGUAGCUAUGUGUGGACGGGAUAAACGCUGAAAGCAUCUAAGCGUGAAGCCCCCCUCAAGAUGAGAUUUCCCAUCACUUUAAGUGAGUAAGACCCCUGAGAGAUGAUCAGGUAGAUAGGUUGGGAGUGGAAGUACAGCGAUGUAUGGAGCGGACCAAUACUAAUCGGUCGAGGACUUAAUC